AACGAACGCUGGCGGCAUGCCUAACACAUGCAAUUCGAACGAAACCUUCGGGUCUAGUGUCGCACGGGUGCGUAACGCGUGGGAACCUGCCCUUAGGUUCGGAAUAACUCCCCGAAAGGGGUGCUAAUACCGGAUAAUGUCUUCGGGCCAAAGAUUUAUCGCCUUUGGAUGGGCCCGCGUUGGAUUAGCUAGUUGGUAUGGUAAAAGCCUACCAAGGCGACGAUCCAUAGCUGGUCUGAGAGGAUGAGCAGCCACACUGGGACUGAGACACGGCCCAGACUCCUACGGGAGGCAGCAGUGGGGAAUAUUGGACAAUGGGCGAAAGCCUGAUCCAGCAAUGCCGCGUGAGUGAUGAAGGACUUAGGGUUGUAAAGCUCUUUUACCCGGGAUGAUAAUGACAGUACCGGGAGAAUAAGCACCGGCUAACUCCGUG
This 433-nucleotide ribosomal RNA is filed under the name uncultured bacterium. RNAcentral describes it as "partial 16S ribosomal RNA". It matches the Rfam family "Bacterial small subunit ribosomal RNA", at positions 29 to 507 of the family's 1533-position model. The record is from RNAcentral.